RNAcentral lists this ribosomal RNA (1356 nucleotides) under Brinjal little leaf phytoplasma. RNAcentral's name for it is "bacterial SSU rRNA". It matches the Rfam family "Bacterial small subunit ribosomal RNA", at positions 81 to 1435 of the family's 1533-position model. Lineage: Bacteria; Bacillati; Mycoplasmatota; Mollicutes; Acholeplasmatales; Acholeplasmataceae. The record is from RNAcentral.
AAAGGAGGUUUUUAGUGGCGAACGGGUGAGUAACACGUAAGUAACCUGCCUUUAAGACGAGGAUAACAACCGGAAGGUUACUAAGACUGGAUAGGAAACAAAAAGGCAUCUUUUUGUUUUUAAAAGACCUUCUUACGAAGGUAUGCUUAAAGAGGGGCUUGCGCCACAUUAGUUAGUUGGUAGAGUAAAAGCCUACCAAGACGAUGAUGUGUAGCUGGACUGAGAGGUUGAACAGCCACAUUGGGACUGAGACACGGCCCAAACUCCUACGGGAGGCAGCAGUAGGGAAUUUUCGGCAAUGGAGGAAACUCUGACCGAGCAACGCCGCGUGAACGAUGAAGUAUUUCGGUAUGUAAAGUUCUUUUAUUGAAGAAGAAAAAGUAGUGGAAAAACUAUAUUGACGUUAUUCAAUGAAUAAGCCCCGGCUAACUAUGUGCCAGCAGCCGCGGUAAGACAUAGGGGGCGAGCGUUAUCCGGAAUUAUUGGGCGUAAAGGGUGCGUAGGCUGUUAGAUAAGUCUAUAAUUUAAUUUCAGUGCUUAACGCUGUCUUGUUAUAGAAACUGUCUUGACUAGAGUGAGAUAGAGGCAAGCGGAAUUCCAUGUGUAGCGGUAAAAUGUGUAAAUAUAUGGAGGAACACCAGAAGCGUAGGCGGCUUGCUGGGUCUUUACUGACGCUGAGGCACGAAAGCGUGGGUAGCAAACAGGAUUAGAUACCCUGGUAGUCCACGCCGUAAACGAUGAGUACUAAGUGUCGGGGUAAAACUCGGUACUGAAGUUAACACAUUAAGUACUCCGCCUGAGUAGUACGUACGCAAGUAUGAAACUUAAAGGAAUUGACGGGACUCCGCACAAGCGGUGGAUCAUGUUGUUUAAUUCGAAGAUACACGAAAAAUCUUACCAGGUCUUGACAUACUCUGCAAAGCUAUAGAAAUAUAGUGGAGGUUAUCAGGGAUACAGGUGGUGCAUGGUUGUCGUCAGUUCGUGUCGUGAGAUGUUAGGUUAAGUCCUAAAACGAACGCAACCCUUGUCGUUAAUUGCCAGCACAUAAUGGUGGGGACUUUAACGAGACUGCCAAUUAAACAUUGGAGGAAGGUGAGGAUUACGUCAAAUCAUCAUGCCCCUUAUGAUCUGGGCUACAAACGUGAUACAAUGGCUGUGACAAAGAGUAGCUGAAACGCGAGUUUUUAGCCAAUCUCAAAAAAGCAGUCUCAGUUCGGAUUGAAGUCUGUAACUCGACUUCAUGAAGUUGGAAUCGCUAGUAAUCGCGAAUCAGCAUGUCGCGGUGAAUACGUUCUCGGGGUUUGUACACACCGCCCGUCAAACCACGAAAGUUAGCAAUGCCCGAAAGCAGUAGCU